This 75-nucleotide transfer RNA is filed under the name Acetobacteraceae bacterium. RNAcentral's name for it is "tRNA-Val". It matches the Rfam family "tRNA". From Rfam's summary of the family: Transfer RNA (tRNA) molecules are approximately 80 nucleotides in length. Their secondary structure includes four short double-helical elements and three loops (D, anti-codon, and T loops). Lineage: Bacteria; Pseudomonadati; Pseudomonadota; Alphaproteobacteria; Acetobacterales; Acetobacteraceae. RNAcentral also lists the same sequence under 11 other names. The record is from RNAcentral.
GGGCGCGUAGCUCAGCGGGAGAGCACCACCUUGACACGGUGGGGGUCACAGGUUCAAUCCCUGUCGCGCCCACCA